CCUACGGGAGGCAGCAGUCGAGAGGCUUUGGCAAUGGGGGAAACCCUGACCAAGCGACGCCGCGUGGGUGAUGAAGGCCUUACGGUUGUAAAGCCCUGUCAUGGGGGGAGAAAAGGCGGUGGGUCAAUACCCCGCUGUCCUGACGGUACCCCAAGAGGAAGCUCCGGCCAACUCCGUGCCAGCAGCCGCGGUAAUACGGGGGGAGCGAGCGUUGUUCGGAAUCACUGGGCGUAAAGGGCGCGUAGGCGGUUCGGUAAGUCAAACGUGAAAUGCCUCGGCUCAACCGAGGACCCGCGUAUGAUACUGCCGGGCUAGAGUCCGGAAGAGGAGAGUGGAAUUCCCGGUGUAGCGGUGAAAUGCGUAGAGAUCGGGAGGAACAUCGAUGGCGAAGGCAGCUCUCUGGAUCGACACUGACGCUGAGGGGCGAAAGCGUGGGGAGCAAACAGGAUUAGAUACCCUGGUAGUCCACGCGGUAAACGAUGAGAACUAGACGCUGGGUGGGUGACUGCUCGGUGUCGCAGCUAACGCGUUAAGUUCUCCGCCUGGGGAGUACGGCCGCAAGGUUGAAACUUAAAGGAAUUGACGG
RNAcentral lists this ribosomal RNA (586 nucleotides) under uncultured bacterium. Its description in RNAcentral is "bacterial SSU rRNA". It matches the Rfam family "Bacterial small subunit ribosomal RNA", at positions 338 to 916 of the family's 1533-position model. The record is from RNAcentral.